AUACGUAGGGGGCAAGCGUUAUCCGGAUUUACUGGGUGUAAAGGGAGCGUAGACGGCGAAGCAAGUCUGAAGUGAAAGGACGGGGCCCAACCCCGGAACUGCUUUGGAAACUGUUUGGCUGGAGUGCGGGAGGGGUAAGCGGAAUUCCUAGUGUAGCGGUGAAAUGCGUAGAUAUUAGGAGGAACACCGAUGGCGAAGGCGGCUUACUGGACCGUAACUGACGUUGAGGCUCGAAGGCGUGGGGAGCAAACAGGAUUAGAUACCCUGGUAGUCCACGCGGUAAACGAUGAUCACUAGGUGUCCGUGGGUAUGACCCAUGGGUGCCGCAGCCAACGCAAUAAGUGAUCCACCUGGGGAGUACGUUCGCAAGAAUGAAACUCAAAGGAAUUGACGGGG
RNAcentral lists this ribosomal RNA (396 nucleotides) under uncultured bacterium. RNAcentral describes it as "partial 16S ribosomal RNA". It matches the Rfam family "Bacterial small subunit ribosomal RNA", at positions 523 to 918 of the family's 1533-position model. The record is from RNAcentral.